This 1209-nucleotide ribosomal RNA is filed under the name Vibrio parahaemolyticus. Its description in RNAcentral is "bacterial LSU rRNA". It matches the Rfam family "Bacterial large subunit ribosomal RNA", at positions 326 to 1549 of the family's 2925-position model. Lineage: Bacteria; Pseudomonadati; Pseudomonadota; Gammaproteobacteria; Vibrionales; Vibrionaceae. The record is from RNAcentral.
GCGUUAGACGAACGGUCUGGAAAGUCCGACGAUACAGGGUGAUAGUCCCGUAGUUGACGACGUGUGUUCAGUGAAAUCGAGUAGGGCGGGACACGUGAUAUCCUGUCUGAAUAUGGGGGGACCAUCCUCCAAGGCUAAAUACUACUGACUGACCGAUAGUGAACCAGUACCGUGAGGGAAAGGCGAAAAGAACCCCUGUGAGGGGAGUGAAAUAGAACCUGAAACCGUGUACGUACAAGCAGUAGGAGCAGGCUUUGUCCUGUGACUGCGUACCUUUUGUAUAAUGGGUCAGCGACUUAUAUUCAGUGGCAAGGUUAACCAUCUAGGGGAGCCGUAGGGAAACCGAGUCUUAACUGGGCGUUCAGUCUCUGGAUAUAGACCCGAAACCAGGUGAUCUAGCCAUGGGCAGGUUGAAGGUUGAGUAACAUCAACUGGAGGACCGAACCGACUAAUGUUGAAAAAUUAGCGGAUGACUUGUGGCUAGGGGUGAAAGGCCAAUCAAACCUGGAGAUAGCUGGUUCUCCCCGAAAGCUAUUUAGGUAGCGCCUCGGACGAAUACUACUGGGGGUAGAGCACUGUUAAGGCUAGGGGGUCAUCCCGACUUACCAACCCUUUGCAAACUCCGAAUACCAGUAAGUACUAUCCGGGAGACACACGGCGGGUGCUAACGUCCGUCGUGGAGAGGGAAACAACCCAGACCGCCAGCUAAGGUCCCAAAUUACUACUAAGUGGGAAACGAUGUGGGAAGGCUCAGACAGCCAGGAUGUUGGCUUAGAAGCAGCCAUCAUUUAAAGAAAGCGUAAUAGCUCACUGGUCGAGUCGGCCUGCGCGGAAGAUGUAACGGGGCUAAGUAGUAAACCGAAGCUGCGGCAAUGCACUUUGUGCAUUGGGUAGGGGAGCGUUCUGUAAGCGGUUGAAGGUGUGUGGUAACGCAUGCUGGACGUAUCAGAAGUGCGAAUGCUGACAUGAGUAACGAUAAAGGGGGUGAAAAACCUCCUCGCCGGAAGACCAAGGGUUCCUGUCCAACGUUAAUCGGGGCAGGGUAAGUCGACCCCUAAGGCGAGGCCGAAAGGCGUAGUCGAUGGGAAACGGGUUAAUAUUCCCGUACUUCUUACAAUUGCGAUGGGGGGACGGAGAAGGCUAGGUGGGCCUGGCGACGGUUGUCCAGGUUCAAGUGCGUAGGCUUAAGAGUUAGGUAAAUCCGGCUCU